RNAcentral lists this ribosomal RNA (492 nucleotides) under uncultured bacterium. Its description in RNAcentral is "partial 16S ribosomal RNA". It matches the Rfam family "Bacterial small subunit ribosomal RNA", at positions 29 to 507 of the family's 1533-position model. The record is from RNAcentral.
AGUGAACGCUGGCGGUAGGCCUAACACAUGCAAGUCGAACGGCAGCACAGUAAGAGCUUGCUCUUACGGGUGGCGAGUGGCGGACGGGUGAGGUAUACAUCGGAAUCUACUUUUUCGCGGGGGAUAACGUAGGGAAACUUACGCUAAUACCGCAUACGACCUACGGGUGAAAGCAGGGGAUCUUCGGACCUUGCGCGAUUGAAUGAGCCGAUGUCGGAUUAGCUAGUUGGCGGGGUAAAGGCCCACCAAGGCGACGAUCCGUAGCUGGUCUGAGAGGAUGAUCAGCCACACUGGAACUGAGACACGGUCCAGACUCCUACGGGAGGCAGCAGUGGGGAAUAUUGGACAAUGGGCGCAAGCCUGAUCCAGCCAUACCGCGUGGGUGAAGAAGGCCUUCGGGUUGUAAAGCCCUUUUGUUGGGAAAGAAAAGCAGCAGGUUAAUACCCCGCUGUUCUGACGGUACCCAAAGAAUAAGCACCGGCUAACUUCGUG